This 72-nucleotide transfer RNA is filed under the name Hazenella coriacea. It matches the Rfam family "tRNA". Rfam says of the family: Transfer RNA (tRNA) molecules are approximately 80 nucleotides in length. The record is from Rfam by way of RNAcentral. Lineage: Bacteria; Bacillati; Bacillota; Bacilli; Caryophanales; Thermoactinomycetaceae.
UGGGAGGUAGCCAAGUGGUAAGGCAACGGACUUUGACUCCGUCAUGCGUAGGUUCGAACCCUACUCUCCCAG